Long non-coding RNA from Rosa chinensis, 3649 nucleotides. RefSeq lists it as uncharacterized. NCBI's taxonomy places the organism in Eukaryota, Viridiplantae, Streptophyta, Magnoliopsida, Rosales, Rosaceae. The transcript has 12 exons. The record is from RefSeq and is a predicted model, not a curated record.
CAUCAUUAUCAAGAACGAUUGAUUGAGACAGAGGGUGUGUUUCUGUGAUGGAGAUCUUGAAAUUCACUAUUCCAAGCAGGGCUGAUGAGAGAGAAAAUGAAGGGUGGUGAUGUUGCUGCGCCGUUACUCUCUUUAAAUCACUCACUGAGUAAUUGAGGUUCGUCGGAGACAGACAAAGCACAACAUUUUCGGACAUCACGAUCUCUUCAUUAUCAAAGGCAUUGGCUUGAUUUCUGCAAUAUCGGUGUAGAAAUUCAUAUGUUCCUGAUUUAUCGUUUGGGCUGUGCGAUUGCUUUAGUCAGAGGUGAAGACCUUGCUUACCCGAAAUACGAUUCCGAUGAUUCGGUUAAGGAUCCGAGUUAUAGCACUGUUGAAGAGUAAGGCCAAGGCACGGAACAACGAUGACAAAAGGGAGGCAUUAGAUAACCUGGAUAUAAUACUUUUUCCUUUAUUUGAAGGCUUGAGAAAAGAGUGAACGAGGUCGAGCAGUAUUACUUGAGGAAAGGCAGUCUGCAACCAACCACUUCGAAGGAGAAAGACAAAGAAACAUUUUAAUACAAUUAAGAAGCAGCAACAAGAUGCAUCACGUAGGGAAGCCACUGCGGCAAAGAGGAUUCGAGAUCUGUUGAAUAAGUUUUCCGCAAUCUUCAAACAGGCAAACAGGGCAAAAACAAUACUUAAUAAGUCAGUAACUGGGAGUGUAGCUGCAGAUGGGAUGUGCAAGUCACCUUCUAAAGAGAAAUUGAAGCAAAUGAGAAGCAUAGAUAUCAACUCCAACUUGAGGAGGCUAUUAGUAACAUAGGUGCAUUUUCUCCCCCAGUAUUUGGUUGUUGUUACUUUGCCUUUCUUUUCCUUUUUGUACUCAUCAAGUGUUCUAUAGCUGGAACAGAACUUUCUGUUUUCGUCAAACUAUCAAUCUAUUACAUAUAAAAUUCAUGAAAAAGGAACCAAACCCGCAGCAACGCGCGGACGCUUUUUCUAGUCUAUAUACUAAACGUCAGUGCACUGUUCCUGACUGUUCAUAAGGGACGGAAAGGACGAUUCUGUCCUCACUUUAUCUUUUUUUACGCCUCUGCCAUUCACUCUCUCUUCCUCCCUCUGCCUCUCUCUCUCUUUCACCUAAAACGAAUUGUUUCUCCUUUCUCUUGCUCUCCUACUCCCCUCGCUUUGAACCGUAUGGAUCUUUCAAAUUUCAAUUGGUUUUUGAAGAAAGCCCAGAAGCUUCAACUUGAAGGCACCAAUCAAAGAACACAAGUUUGCAAUUGGGAGAGAGAGUUAUGCUUAGAAGACGAGGGAUUGGGAGAGGGAGUUCUGAGUUUCUGCCAUUGGUUGUUGACCGAAGCUAGAAUCACAGACUGAUCGGAGUUCAUUGUUUGCUUGCUUUUGGCCAGGCAAGGUACUGAAGGAGGAAUGUGUUAAAUGGUUACAACAUGGAGAAGACUGUAAAAGUACUUGGGCUCCCUCCCUCUAUGAACUAGAGAACUUCAUUUGAUUACUAUUAGUUGUUAGUUCAGUUAGAAAGCAAUUGAUAAUUGUUAUAUAACUUGAACGAAGUGAUAUACCCGCAGUUUAGAAAUUCCUAAAACUUCUGUACAAUAAGUUAAACUCACACACAUAAUCGCUAAAGUCUGAAAACAUAAAAUAAAACACUGACAGUUUCAUAUGAAGUUUCUGGAAAUAGUGAUAAAUAAAGGAAUCUAAUCAUCAAACUAAAGCCAACAAUGUUCACUUAUUUCGUACACCAUAAAAUUGGUUUUACGUGAACAGGUCUGCAAAUGUCAAUAGCAUUGGAAACAUAUCCUCUUCGAUGAUCUGAGCAACAAAAGCAAUUAAAUGGAGUGGUUUAAUUAAUGAGGCAGAGACAUAUUACCCUAGAAAAGAUAUAGAUUACUAACUUCAAUAACAAACUACCAAAGACAAUUCUAAAUAUACGAAAGACAAACUUACUGUUCACACCUGUUCAUUGGGUGUUGAAAAGGCUAUUUUGCCCUUGCUUUUCCCCCACAAUCUCAGGCUGCCAUUGACCUAGGUACUAGAUGCUUUCAUCGGUUUCUUCUUUCUUCUACGGCCGUAUAACCACGAUUGACUUCCGUAAAAGUGGUGAGAAGAGAGUGUGAUGCGGAUAAGAAGGAAAGGGACUGUCGAAAGAGACUCUGAGAGCGAAGAGGCUCUUUUGCUUUAACCACAACACUCCAAUAGCUCAAGUGAAACUCGCCUGCAGUCGAUUUUUUCUCUUGAUUUGACGAUGAAGGUCUCUAAUCUGACGAUCCGUACUAUACCUUUUAAAAGAAACUUGAAAAACAAACAUAUUCAUAAGAAGCUUGGUUGAGACGGAGGAAGAACAGAGGGACGAGAAGAUCGAGGAGGACGAAGAUGGAACUGGGUAAUCGAUUUUCAAGUCCAGUUUGUUCUAAUCGAUUAAAGUUUUAGAUUGUUUGUUUUUGUGGUUUAAUUCGGAAUUUCUUUCAGGUCUUAAAGAUACUCUAGAAUGGUUGUCUCCAUUGUCCGCAGAAAAAAAAAAAAUAAGAGUCCGAAUUGGACCUAGGCUUUUCAGCGACAAAUGGCUCAUUUUGAGUUACGAUCGAGCAAAUGUCAGAGGUACCGGGCAAAAUGUCAGAGGAAGGCUUAAUUUUGUGCUCCUCUUAUGAAGGUGUUUCUUGACGAUGGGAAGAAAGAGAGGCUCAUCAAUCAGGAUUAGAAGCUUCCCAACCGGCUCUAACUCAAUAUCGGGUGCUUGGUCCUUUGAUAAAUGGAUGCUCAUGGAUUGAAUUACAACCACUCACUAGCCGAAAGCAUCUGGUGAAUUUUUCCUUGGACAGUUUAUAGAAAUCGUUGGCUAAUAUUUGGUUGGAGCACAAGGAUUCCCUAGCUGGAGCACUACUUUUGGCCUUAAGGCAACAUUGUUCUGGAGAAAUUUGAGAGGAGGUGGCAUGAAGUAACAAACCAAGUAGGGGAACAUAUCUACCAAUUCUGUUGCAUAAUUUACUAUUCCUGAGCUGAACAUCGCUGACCAACCAAAAUGGUGGAAAAGAAGUGUUCCGAAGUGCUUUAGAUCAAGCUGGAGAUAGAGUAGGUGUUGUUCAAUUCUAUGGAAAGCACUGUCUCUGGAUUUUGAGCAAUGGAAGAACUGUAUGCGGUAGUGAUUCUGUUUGGAAGGCCUUGAUUUUUUAUGCCAAAAGUUGUGAAUGCUUCUUUAAUGCUGAUCAACACAAUGAUUUGGCAACGCCAUAGUAGACGUAAAGAAAAUGUUGGACCAAUUUCAUGAGUUGCCCAAUGCCAACAGCAUAAUUUUCAAAAACGCUAGAUGCAAGGUGCUUUUUAGUAUUAACUUUUUGAAGUUAUUCAAGAAUCUGAUGUCGGCCUGUUCUUCUACUGAAGCAGUCAUGUGGCUAAAGACCCAAGAAGCGCAGUGUACAGAGAAGUUGUAGUAGCUCUUGACUAAUCUUGAAGAAACUUAAGGUUAAAUCUCAUUGUUUGCACAACAGACUAUUGGAAAGAAAAUGAGAUAAUGUUAAAGGUCUGAGAUGUAUUGCUAUUGCAAAGAAUAUGAGAUAAUGUUAAAGGUCUGAGAUGUAUUGCCUCUAGAGGAUAUCCCAAAGUUGGAAUAUCUCUUAGAUACACACAUAAAAUCAUUUUUAUUGAUCUCGCA